This 124-nucleotide ribosomal RNA is filed under the name uncultured archaeon. RNAcentral's name for it is "partial 16S ribosomal RNA". The record is from RNAcentral.
CCCGCAUCUGACGUAGUGUGAUAGGGGAUCCCAGAGUGCUUAUAGCAUAUUGUGUAGGGCUUUUGCCAAAAUGAAAACUUUCGGCGAAUAAGUGGUGGGUAAGACUGGUGCCAGCAGCCGCGGU